Molecule: ribosomal RNA, 274 nt
Filed under: uncultured bacterium
Lineage: Bacteria
Description: partial 16S ribosomal RNA
Rfam family: Bacterial small subunit ribosomal RNA
Source: RNAcentral
AUACAGAGGGUGCGAGCGUUAAUCGGAAUUACUGGGCGUAAAGCGCGCGUAGGCGGCUUAUUAAGUCAGAUGUGAAAUCCCAGGGCUCAACCUUGGAACUGCAUCUGAUACUGGUAAGCUAGAGUUUAGGAGAGGGAAGUAGAAUUUCAGGUGUAGCGGUGAAAUGCAUAGAGAUCUGAAGGAAUACCAGUGGCGAAGGCGACUUCCUGGCCUAAAACUGACGCUGAGGUGCGAAAGCGCGGGUAGCAAACGGGAUUAGAAACCCUAGUAGUCC